Molecule: long non-coding RNA, 556 nt
Organism: Macadamia integrifolia
Lineage: Eukaryota; Viridiplantae; Streptophyta; Magnoliopsida; Proteales; Proteaceae
Exons: 2
Source: RefSeq, a predicted model, not a curated record
UUGGACGACGGGCCAGUCGACGCAAUCGAACAUAAGCUCAAGGUCCGGCAACCUUCCUGGAUACCUGUUCAACAUCUGUGAUAUCCCCCAUAGAGUGAACACAUCCCUCGUCUGAAACGAUUUCUUGAAAGUCUCCAAAUCUUCAUGGAUCCACCGGAAAUAAUCAGGACAAACUGGGCUCGACGGUGAACUGUCAUCGUUUUCCCUCUGAAAUGUCUCUGAGAAGCUUACGGGACAACUUCGAGUCCGGUUUCCGGCGGAGCAAUUAAGUGGGAUUUCAAUUCUCUGAGGAUGCUUAUGAAUUGCUAUUGGGUUUUCCACUAUUUUCUGCUUCGAAGCACCUCUAAUGGACUGCAAAAGAGAAACGACUAUCAGUACCCAUGGCUGUGAAUAGGGAUGGGCUUGGUGAAAAAGAGAGAUGUGUCAGGGUAUGUGAGACAGGGGGUGACUGCCCAGAAUCCCAGAUCCAGAUUGUUAGAUCACACGGAUCCACCUGGCCUAGAAAUACUCUGUGUCAGAUAAUACUAUAAACAACAUUAAUAGAUCUUUACUCUUU